Molecule: ribosomal RNA, 497 nt
Filed under: uncultured bacterium
Lineage: Bacteria
Description: partial 16S ribosomal RNA
Rfam family: Bacterial small subunit ribosomal RNA
Source: RNAcentral
GAUGAACGCUGGCGGCGUGCCUAAUACAUGCAAGUCGAGCGAACAGACGAGGAGCUUGCUCCUCUGAUGUUAGCGGCGGACGGGUGAGUAACACGUGGAUAACCUACCUAUAAGACUGGGAUAACUUCGGGAAACCGGAGCUAAUACCGGAUAACAUGUUGAACCGCAUGGUUCAACAGUGAAAGACGGUCUUGCUGUCACUUAUAGAUGGAUCCGCGCCGCAUUAGCUAGUUGGUAAGGUAACGGCUUACCAAGGCAACGAUGCGUAGCCGACCUGAGAGGGUGGUCGGCCACACUGGAACUUAGACACGGUCCAGACUCCUACGGGAGGGAGCAGUAGGGAAUCUUCCGCAAUGGGCGAAAGCCUGACGGAGCAACGCCGCGUGAGUGAAGAAGGUCUUCGGAUCGUAAAACUCUGUUAUUAGGGAAGAACAAAUGUGUAAGUAACUAUGCACGUCUUGACGGUACCUAAUCAGAAAGCCACGGCUAACUACGUG